CAGUCGCCGCGGGAAUACGUAGGGUGCAAGCGUUAAUCGGAAUUACUGGGCGUAAAGCGUGCGCAGGCGGUUAUAUAAGUCAGAUGUGAAAUCCCCGGGCUCAACCUGGGACCUGCAUUUGUGACUGUAUAGCUAGAGUACGGUAGAGGGGGAUGGAAUUCCGCGUGUAGCAGUGAAAUGCGUAGAUAUGCGGAGGAACACCGAUGGCGAAGGCAAUCCCCUGGACCUGUACUGACGCUCAUGCACGAAAGCGUGGGGAGCAAACAGGAUUAGAGACCCCUGUAGUCCCUGUCUCUUAUAC
RNAcentral lists this ribosomal RNA (301 nucleotides) under uncultured bacterium. RNAcentral's name for it is "partial 16S ribosomal RNA". It matches the Rfam family "Bacterial small subunit ribosomal RNA", at positions 509 to 807 of the family's 1533-position model. The record is from RNAcentral.